Molecule: ribosomal RNA, 1429 nt
Filed under: uncultured organism
Description: 16S ribosomal RNA
Rfam family: Bacterial small subunit ribosomal RNA
Source: RNAcentral
CAGGCUUAACACAUGCAAGUCGAGGGGCAGCAUUUUAGUUUGCUUGCAAACUGAAGAUGGCGACCGGCGCACGGGUGAGUAACACGUAUCCAACCUGCCGAUAACUCCGGGAUAGCCUUUCGAAAGAAAGAUUAAUACCGGAUAGCAUACGAAUAUCGCAUGAUAUUUUUAUUAAAGAAUUUCGGUUAUCGAUGGGGAUGCGUUCCAUUAGUUUGUUGGCGGGGUAACGGCCCACCAAGACUACGAUGGAUAGGGGUUCUGAGAGGAAGGUCCCCCACAUUGGAACUGAGACACGGUCCAAACUCCUACGGGAGGCAGCAGUGAGGAAUAUUGGUCAAUGGGCGCGAGCCUGAACCAGCCAAGUAGCGUGAAGGAUGAAGGCUCUAUGGGUCGUAAACUUCUUUUAUAUGGGAAUAAAGUUUUCCACGUGUGGAAUUUUGUAUGUACCAUAUGAAUAAGGAUCGGCUAACUCCGUGCCAGCAGCCGCGGUAAUACGGAGGAUCCGAGCGUUAUCCGGAUUUAUUGGGUUUAAAGGGAGCGUAGGUGGAUUGUUAAGUCAGUUGUGAAAGUUUGCGGCUCAACCGUAAAAUUGCAGUUGAAACUGGCAGUCUUGAGUACAGUAGAGGUGGGCGGAAUUCGUGGUGUAGCGGUGAAAUGCUUAGAUAUCACGAAGAACUCCGAUUGCGAAGGCAGCUCACUAGACUGUCACUGACACUGAUGCUCGAAAGUGUGGGUAUCAAACAGGAUUAGAUACCCUGGUAGUCCACACAGUAAACGAUGAAUACUCGCUGUUUGCGAUAUACAGUAAGCGGCCAAGCGAAAGCAUUAAGUAUUCCACCUGGGGAGUACGCCGGCAACGGUGAAACUCAAAGGAAUUGACGGGGGCCCGCACAAGCGGAGGAACAUGUGGUUUAAUUCGAUGAUACGCGAGGAACCUUACCCGGGCUUAAAUUGCAACAGAAUAUAUUGGAAACAGUAUAGCCGUAAGGCUGUUGUGAAGGUGCUGCAUGGUUGUCGUCAGCUCGUGCCGUGAGGUGUCGGCUUAAGUGCCAUAACGAGCGCAACCCUUAUCUUUAGUUACUAACAGGUCAUGCUGAGGACUCUAGAGAGACUGCCGUCGUAAGAUGUGAGGAAGGUGGGGAUGACGUCAAAUCAGCACGGCCCUUACGUCCGGGGCUACACACGUGUUACAAUGGGGGGUACAGAAGGCGGCUACCUGGUGACAGGAUGCUAAUCCCAAAAACCUCUCUCAGUUCGGAUCGAAGUCUGCAACCCGACUUCGUGAAGCUGGAUUCGCUAGUAAUCGCGCAUCAGCCAUGGCGCGGUGAAUACGUUCCCGGGCCUUGUACACACCGCCCGUCAAGCCAUGAAAGCCGGGGGUACCUGAAGUACGUAACCGCAAGGAGCGUCCUAGGGUAAAACUGGUAAU